This 455-nucleotide long non-coding RNA is filed under the name Carica papaya (papaya). RNAcentral describes it as "long non-coding RNA (CPAP_LNC010599)". The record is from RNAcentral. Lineage: Eukaryota; Viridiplantae; Streptophyta; Magnoliopsida; Brassicales; Caricaceae.
UUUUUAGUUAUCUUGUUAUUUGUUUCCCCUAUACUGCGUGCUGGUAUUUCGGUCAUUGGUUAUUUGUUUGUGUUAAACUAUAUUAUUAUUUAAGUGAACGGUGAGUAUAAAAUGAGAUAUGAUUAUUGCAUAGUUGAUUGUGAUGCUAAUGAAAAUCUGUAUAGGAAAGACCCGAAAAAGGGCAGACUGACCCGGUAUAUAGGAAACCCUACAGUGAACGUUACUUUAGUCGGACGGGACUGGAAAAUCCCUUACCAGUAAGGUUUAAGAGAUAUGGUUCACCUUCAUAUCGGAUAGGAUAUCGAGGUGGUGAAAUAUUUGGCGCUCAUUACUGGACGGGGUAUGGUGACGACUGGUUAAUUGUCUAAUUGGAUAUUAGGUUCACGAGUAGGAGGACAUCCCUAUGGACCCCAGUGGUACCAGUAAGUGAGUAAAAAUAUAAAAUGAUCGUUUCU